GAGUUUGAUCCUGGCUCAGGAUGAACGCUGGCGGCGUGCCUAAUACAUGCAAGUCGAACGAGGUGCCUUUGUAGCAAUACGAAGGUAUCCUAGUGGCGAACGGGUGAGUAACGCGUUGGUGACCUGCCCCAAAGUGUGGGAUAACAGUCCGAAAGGAUUGCUAAUACCGCAUGUGGUCAUCGGGUUUAGAAGCCGGUGACUAAAGCCGCAAGGCGCUUUGGGAGGGGCCUGCGUCCCAUCAGCUAGUUGGUAGGGUAACGGCCUACCAAGGCGACGACGGGUAGGGGACCUGAGAGGGUGGCCCCCCACAAUGGAACUGAAACACGGUCCAUACACCUACGGGUGGCUGC
This 350-nucleotide ribosomal RNA is filed under the name uncultured bacterium. Its description in RNAcentral is "bacterial SSU rRNA". It matches the Rfam family "Bacterial small subunit ribosomal RNA", at positions 9 to 352 of the family's 1533-position model. The record is from RNAcentral.